CCAACGUACGCGUAAUAUGUACGCCGGUCGAUACUUUGCUUACGUAUAGUGCAAGGACUCGAUGAGGAGCUUAUUUCGGUUAUAAUUAUUCGCAGUGUCAUUGAUCCAAAUAUUAGGGCUACGGCGACAAAUGCUAAACUAUUUCCGAAUGAUUUAGUCGAAUUCUUUUCAAUCUAUGUUAAACCAAAUACAAUUAGUGUUUCGAGACAACUAUACUCGCGUUCGGAAUUGUGAAACGUUACGACAGAUAGACGAUCUCUGGAGUAUUCACGUAAACGUAAUCUGAGUGAUAUCAGGUGCUUUAUCUGUGGGCAGUUGGGGCAAAAAGAAGCUUUGUGUAGUAAGAGACCCAAAAUCGAACGGUUAUCAGGGAGUUUAUCAAAUAGUGAGGGCGUUAAGUUAUCUAGGCUCAAAUCAUGCACAUAUUUUAUGAAUUAAUGGUGAUGAUUGUUCAGUCUGAUGUUUCGAUGACAAUUGAUACACCUCUGGUAGGUAACUAUUUAGAGAGGGUUACUAAGAGGAUAAUUAAUGAAUGCUCUCGGUACUUGAUUACGGGAACUGCUACAUCAACCGUAAACAUAGGUAGCAUGUCAAUUAAACUUAAAUCCAGCAUUCCUGUGUAUAAUCGGUCAUAUCAACUCUCACACGCUGAAACGAUCCGUGGUCGUGACAUAAUAACAGAUUUGCUUGAAAAGCAAAUAAUAAAGGAAUGCUCGUUUUUAGCUACCACUAUUGAAUACCUGGGUCGUACGAUUAGUAAAGGUCAGGAUAGGCCAAGUCGUCAGAAAGUGCGGGCCUUAAUUGAUUCAGCCGAACAAAAAAAAUCUUAAGCAAGUAAGGCAAUUUCUGGGGUUAGCUAGCUAUUUUAGGCGGUAUAUAGUUGGGUUGGCCCAAAGGGCUGCUUGCAUAGCGGCACUUACUAAAAAUUAACUUUCAUUGAGGUGCUGAAAAACAGGCCGCUCGUGACUACAUCAUAGAUUGUCUUACAAGUGAGCCAGUACUCGCCAUGUAUGAUCCUACGCUGCCAAUAGAAAUACUACACAGAUGCGAGCUCGAUUGGUUACGGAGUCGUCAUGAUGAGAGUGCAUAAGGGAAAUCGUAAACGAGUACUGCCUUAUUGUAGUAGACUCACUCAGGGGGCUGAGAGGAAGUAGCACUCAUACGAACUGAAGACGCUGGCAGUGAUUAAGGUAUUAGAGUAUUUCAGGCAUUAUCUUGUGGUUGCACACUUCAUCGUGGUUACUGACUGUAACGCGUUAAAACUUACCCAACGUAAGAAAGACUUGUUGCCAAGGGUGGCUCGGUGGUGGGUAUAUCUCCAAGAAUUCGAUUCUAACCUGGAAUAUAGAAAAGGUUGUUUUUUUGUCCCAUGCAGAUUAUCUUAGCCGCAAUCCGGUUAACUUAUGUACCAUUAAAAGACCGCUAAAUUGGGCGCAAGUUGCUCAGGCUUCUGACGAGAAAACUCACUCUCUAAAACAAAAACUGGUGAAUGGGCAGUUAAACCUCAGUCGUUAUGACAUCCUUUAAGUCAAGCUCUCACCUAUUGGUGAAAAUCCUAAUUUUUGUUGUUAUAUUCCAAAAGGCCAUAGACUGUCUUAUGUGUAUUUUCACGACGAACAUGAUCAUCAAGGGGUUGAUAAAACUGUAGACUUGAUAACAAAACACUUUUAGUUCCCAGGGUUGAGAACAUUUGCAAAGAAAAAAAAAAUACAUUUCCCAUUGUUUGGUUUGCCUUUCUCAUAAAAAGGUAGCUCGUGCUCUUUCACGGCUCAUUCAUUCAUGGGAGAAAACCAGACGUAGCAUUUGAGGCAGUCCAUAUGGACACCUUGGGCCCCCUACCAGAAACUGACGGUCACCGUCAUGUACUUAUUAUUAUAGACGCGUUUUCAAAAUUUUGUUUAUUGUAUCCCAUGUUCCGACAAGACACUGACGAACUAAAGCAACACUUCACUACCAUGGUGUCUCUCUUUGGAACUCCAAAAUUAAUUGUCACUGAUCGGGGACGCAUGUUUCAAUGUUUCAAAGCACUGAUUUCCUUAAUUGGGUCAAGGACUUGGCCAGCUGUUUUGUUGAGGUUACAGCUGAUCCUAAACAUAACAAAACGCAAGACAACUCGAUAUUCUGCUUUAAACCUGCUUAUAGGUGCUGAAGCUGCCACACCGCUCAUACGUAGUUUGAUACGAGACGUUACUGUUGAAGGCUCAAGUGGUAAUCGAGAAGUCCUUCGUCAAAUGAGUCGUCAGAGGGCAUCUAAACUCCUUCGUGCCAACUAAACUCGUCAAGAUGCCUAUGCUAACUAGAGACGUAAACAGCUAACUCUUUUGAACUAAAUUCCUUAGUUUUUGUUAGCAAGGUGGCUCAGACAACAAGGAAGCUGGACUCAUGUAUGCGGGGACCACACCGGGUUAUGAAGACACUAUCACACUGCCGAUAUGAGCUGCAGAUGUUAGCUGGCUCAUACGGCAAAUCGACUCGAGCAGCUGCGGAAUAUAUGGUCCCGUGGAAGUGAGAAUGGACUCCCGAUGUGUGUUCUGCUUUCUUUGAUGAGAACCAGGAUUGUGAUGAAGAGGUGAAAUAAAUAGCCUACUUUAUGUCACUUUCCGUGUAUAAUAGUGCAUGAACGUGACGUAUGUCUGCGUGUUGAAAGUCCGAGCCGACAGUCGUCAGCAUCUCCACCCGUUUCUUGAUUUAUAAAAUGUAAAUUAAAACUAUAGUCAUCGAGUCCUCUCGAGUGAAACCAUUUUGUGUAUCGAGAAUAAAGUUUAUUUUAUAAAUCGAAUAACAACUAUUAUAAUUUGGCCUCCCUCGCAUCGCCCACGACGCCGAGGCGCUGCGCCCUUCGUCCGCCGUGUGCUCAUAGCCUAAUCAUGACACCAAGUUAUAAAAACUCGCGAAACUUCGAAAUCGGAACCCUAGUACUAGUUCGCGCCAAAAAAAUUACACCAUCGACUAUCGACUGCGAAGGAGCGCCUCCCGCCUCGAGCUAAGAGGUUCCGACGUCGAAGCUCGGCUUCAGUGCACUCUUCAUAUCUGAAACGUCGAAGGCACAACACGUUGUAUGGUCGACCGUGCCUCGCUCCCGACACGACUCACGGGCAACCGAGCAGGAGCUCACGGAGCCGGAGAUGACCGGUUUUGUGCAUUCUCUGUCGCUCCCGGAUGAACCUAGUCCGAGGCGAUCCUCUUACAAAAAGUUAUAUAAAUGUAGAUCGAAUAUAAUAUACUUCACUUACGUUAACAAUUGUCAAAAAGGACGGUUCAAAUCUAAACACAAUACUAAAAUAGAAAAUACUUUGUUUUAUAAAAUAUCAUACAACGACGUAAAGAGAUCUCCGCGUCGCCCACGGGAGAGUGCACUGAUCGGCCCCGGCCCGGCCUUCCCGCGGCUCGGGGCCUGACGACCCUCCGCACGCACGUCCCCGGACACCUACGACGGCCCGGAGAGAACGCUACAUCCGUAGCUCGGGAGACUUACUGGUACACUUCCUACGACUAUAUUUACAGGAGACAUUCCGGUAGCCUCUGGGAGCCCGCCGGCUUGGUGUGCUUGGCGAAAUGUCAAACAGUAAGAACACAAUACAACCAUGUCACAAACACCGCCCAGUUUAAUAUAUUAAUGUAAAAUAAAUAUCAUUUCAUGUAUAACAAUAUUUUUUCGUCCAAAAUAAACUCGACAAUCUUUAAUUUUCUUUUUUGUUUGUAAUUUUUCUUCACGUAUAUCGAACCGUGUCGUUCCUCUGUAUCAUAUAAACGAUAACUUAAUGAUUAUGCUCGUUUCUUCUUAUAUUUUUUUCGUCAUUUAGGCGCCCGAAAAUCUUUUUCUAAAUCAUAAAUUAUUU
Danaus plexippus (monarch butterfly) is the source of this 3839-nucleotide long non-coding RNA. RefSeq lists it as uncharacterized. The transcript is spliced from 2 exons. The record is from RefSeq and is a predicted model, not a curated record. NCBI's taxonomy places the organism in Eukaryota, Metazoa, Arthropoda, Insecta, Lepidoptera, Nymphalidae.